This 204-nucleotide unclassified non-coding RNA is filed under the name Hevea brasiliensis (rubber tree). Lineage: Eukaryota; Viridiplantae; Streptophyta; Magnoliopsida; Malpighiales; Euphorbiaceae. The record is from RNAcentral.
GCCAAGUGUGAAAAUGAAACUUGUCAACAUCUGAAAUAGCAAAUUACAAGCUUAAGGGGAGUGCCCAAGUACAGGCGAUGGGGAGUCAAAAGAUGGUAAACCAUUCAUGCUGAUGGCUCAUAGGCAAACUGAUGCUUGCAGCCAUGCUGGAUUCCAAAGCUUUUGAGAUUCGUAUUUUGGCAUCGCAAAGUUCAAGUUUUUUUG